UGGGGAAUCUUGCACAAUGGGGGCAACCCUGAUGCAGCGACGCCGCGUGAGCGAUGAAGCCCUUCGGGGCGUAAAGCUCUUUCGACCGGAACGAUAAUGACGGUACCGGGAGAAGAAGCUGCGGCUAACUACGUGCCAGCAGCCGCGGUAAUACGUAGGCAGCAAGCGUUGUUCGGAGUUACUGGGCGUAAAGAGUGCGGAGGCGGUUUUCUAGGUUCGGUGUGAAAUCUCCCGGCUUAACUGGGAGGGUGCGCCGAAGACUGGGAAGCUGGAGUGUGGGAAAGGCAGGCGGAAUUCCUGGUGUAGCGGUGAAAUGCGUAGAUAUCAGGAGGAACACCGGCGCUGUAGACGGCUUGCUAGACCAUAACUGACGCUGAGGCACGAAAGCGUGGGUAGCAAACA
RNAcentral lists this ribosomal RNA (402 nucleotides) under uncultured bacterium. RNAcentral's name for it is "bacterial SSU rRNA". It matches the Rfam family "Bacterial small subunit ribosomal RNA", at positions 355 to 774 of the family's 1533-position model. The record is from RNAcentral.